This 439-nucleotide ribosomal RNA is filed under the name uncultured bacterium. RNAcentral's name for it is "partial 16S ribosomal RNA". It matches the Rfam family "Bacterial small subunit ribosomal RNA", at positions 339 to 795 of the family's 1533-position model. The record is from RNAcentral.
CUACGGGAGGCACCAGUGAGGAAUAUUGCACAAUGGGGGGAACCCUGAUGCAGCAACGCCGCGUGGAGGAUGACGCAUUUCGGUGUGUAAACUCCUUUUAUAUGUCAAGGAAAUGACGGUAGCAUAUGAAUAAGCACCGGCUAACUCCGUGCCAGCAGCCGCGGUAAUACGGAGGGUGCAAGCGUUACUCGGAAUCACUGGGCGUAAAGGACGCGUAGGCGGGCUUGUAAGUCAGGUGUGAAAUCCUACAGCUUAACUGUAGAACUGCACUUGAAACUACGAGCCUAGAGUAUGGGAGGGGGAGAUGGAAUUAGUGGUGUAGGGGUAAAAUCCGUAGAUAUCACUAGGAAUACCUAAAGCGAAGGCGAUCUCCUGGAACAUAACUGACGCUAAGGCGUGAAAGCGUGGGGAGCAAACAGGAUUAGAUACCCCGGUAGUC